RNAcentral lists this unclassified non-coding RNA (168 nucleotides) under soil metagenome. Its description in RNAcentral is "partial contains 5.8S ribosomal RNA, internal transcribed spacer 2, and large subunit ribosomal RNA". The record is from RNAcentral.
AACUGAUACUACCUGCGGGAACCUGCGGAAGGAUCAUUAGUGAACGCCCUCACGGGCUUAUAACUGUUCCAAACCUCUGUGAACCGUGCCCUUCGGGGCUAUUUUACAAACAUGGUGUAAUGAACGUCAUAUAUCAUAACAAAACAAAACUUUUAGCAAUGGAUCUCU